RNAcentral lists this ribosomal RNA (1905 nucleotides) under Triticum aestivum (bread wheat). Its description in RNAcentral is "partial small subunit ribosomal RNA". The record is from RNAcentral. Lineage: Eukaryota; Viridiplantae; Streptophyta; Magnoliopsida; Poales; Poaceae.
AUGGACGGAUCUGGGCAGAGCCCCCAGCCGCUCGAUGCUGCCCCAGGUCGAAGCCUCGCCACGACCAGUCCUCCAGCGCUUCGGGUGAGGCCCAUGCCGCUGUCGCCGUCAAGCCAUCCCACCGCCGUGCCGCACCACCACACGAAGGCGUCGGCCAGUGCCAAGCCCCACCAUGCGGGGGAGAGAGAGGCCCCGCCGCUGCCAACACCAAUCGGGCUUUACCCAACGGCGCGGUCCGGCGGUGGCGAGGGGAGGAGAAUGAAAGGCGAUGUCAAUGCACAACUUCCCAAGAAAACAGAGCAGGUUCUUUUCUGUAGUUUAACUCAAGAGCAACAUGCUACUUAUCGUGCAUUUCUUGCUAGUUCAGAGGUGGAACAAAUAUUUGAUGGUAACAGAAACUCCCUUUAUGGGAUAGAUGUCCUGAGGAAGAUAUGUAAUCAUCCUGAUCUUCUUGAGAGAGAACAAGCUGCUCAGAAUCCUGAUUAUGGAAAUAUUGAAAGAAGUGGAAAGAUGAAAGUGGUUGAGCAAGUACUUAAAGUCUGGAAAGAUCAAGGUCAUCGCGUUCUUCUUUUUGCUCAGACCCAACAGUUGCUUGACAUUUUGGAGAACUUCUUGACUGCGCGCGACUACCAAUAUCGAAGAAUGGAUGGACUUCCAAAGUUUGAUGAGUUUAAUAAUACAGAUGAGAUUUUUAUUUUCAUUCUGACAACAAAAGUUGGUGGAUUGGGUACGAAUUUGACUGGGGCAAACAGGGUUAUAAUAUUUGAUCCUGACUGGAACCCUUCGACAGACAUGCAGGCCAGGGUACGAGCGUGGCGAAUUGGGCAAAAAAGAGAUGUGACAGUUUACAGGUUGAUCACACGUGGGACGAUAGAGGAGAAAGUCUACCAUCGACAGAUAUACAAGCAUUUUCUCACAAACAAAGUACUGAAAAACCCUCAGCAAAGGAGGUUCUUUAAAGCCAGAGACAUGAAAGAUUUAUUCACAUUACAAGAUGAUGACAAGAAUGGUUCAACUGAAACAUCAAACAUUUUUGGCCAAUUGUCUGAAGAUGUGAACAUCGGUGCUCCAGAUGGUGAGGAGCGAGGCGAGGGAUCUUCAGCUUUACCGACCAGCGCAGAGGCUGAACCAUCUGUUGAUGGAAAUGGGAAAUCAGACCUUAGAUCUGACCAAGCGGAUGAAGAAUCCAACAUUUUGAAGAGUCUUUUUGAUGGCCAGGGCGUUCAUAGUGCUAUAAAUCAUGAUGCCAUAAUGAGUGCUAACGACGAUCAGAAGCUGCGCCUAGAAGCAGAAGCUUCACAGGUGGCACACAGGGCAGCUGAGGCUUUACGCCAAUCACGGAUGCUCAGAAGCCGUGACGACUUUGCUGUCCCCACAUGGACAGGAAGAGCUGGUGCUGCCGGGGCGCCGUCUUCUGUCCGCAGGAAAUUUGGGUCAACACUCAACACCCAGCUGGUUAGUUCUUCGCAGCCAUCAGAAGGUUCAAACGGCAGCAGGGUUCAAAGUCUUCAGGUGGGCGCUCUACAUGGCAAAGCACUGUCCUCCGCCGAGCUUUUGGCUAAGAUGCGUGGAACGCGAGAGGGGGCAGCUUCAGACGCACUGGAACAUCAGCUCAGCCUGGGCUCUGCUUCCAACCAGAGACCAGGCUCGACAGAGAACGGACGCACAUCUAACUCUUCUUCUAGUAGGAACAUUAUCGUGCAACCUGAAGUCCUGAUCCGCCAGCUGUGCACCUUCAUACAACAAAACGGUGGCUCCGCCAGCUCGACGAGCUUGACGGAACAUUUCAAGAACCGCAUACAACCAAAGGAUAUGCUGGUGUUCAAGAACCUUCUGAAGGAGAUAGCAAUGUUGCAAAGGGGCGCAGGCGGCUCAACGUGGGUGCUGAAACCCGAGUAUGGGUAA